UACAAAUGUCCCAAUCCACCAUACCCACUCCCAUCAACCAUAAUUCCGUGUUGAUAAGAGGUUAGAGGAGGGAUUUCAGUGCUGUGGAUCUUUGGGCGGCAACGGUGGAGAUAGUGUUGAAGGUGAGGACUGAAUGGAAGAACGGAAGACCCAAUCUUAAUCGUUUUGCCAUUGUCAUUGCUCAAAAUCUAGGGUUUUAAUUUCUUUCGUUUUCCCGUAUACCAUUUUUCUUUCUUUAGCUAUAGAGUGAGAGAGACAAAUUGUGACUGUCGACCUUGCCGAAGGGAUUUUUCGAUAAGUGUGAUGACCGUGCCUUUUUUGGAUAAGAAGUAAGCGAUGCAAAUCCAAUGACUCCGCCACCGCAAACCUCUACUUGUUAAGGUGAAUUUGGGGUGUAAUGAGAGAUGAUGCGGACAAGGAGCAACAAAUUGAAACUAAUUUGGGAGAUAAUUUGUGAAAUUGCUGUGGGAAUUGAAAAUGAGCCAAACGGUGAAGCUAUGGUGACGUUGUAAUUAGCAUUUUACCGGGUUGUUGGUUUUAGCAAUGGAGCACAUGAACUGUGUAGUCACUCCUUUCUCUCUCUUUUUUUUCUUCCUUUCCCAUUUUUGUUCUCUAUUCUCUGCUACCCAUUCUGAGCCUGUACCAAAUGGAC
RNAcentral lists this long non-coding RNA (652 nucleotides) under Olea europaea subsp. europaea. Lineage: Eukaryota; Viridiplantae; Streptophyta; Magnoliopsida; Lamiales; Oleaceae. The record is from RNAcentral.